UGCAUGUGUGUACAUACGUGUGUGUGUGUGUAUGUGUAUGUGUGUAUGCGUAUGUGUGACAUAUGUGUGAGACAGACCAGAGAGAGGGGGGGGAAGCACUUUUCAAAAAUAAGUACCAUUUAAUAUAAUGCAGCUGUAAAAUCUGGCAAGAGCAGGCGGUCCUGUUGCCCUUUAAGGCGCCCUUCCUGUGGAUGUCCCUCCAAAGGAGAAGUUGGUGACUUACCUCAUUACCUCAGCAUCCAUCUUAUCACUUCAUCUACAGGGACCGCCUCACGUAUGCGGCUGUAUUCCUCAGAUAUCCUGAAACUUUGGCCAAUAUCGUAAGCACCUUAACCCCUGGCUACUCAGUUGUAAGCACUUUUAGAUCACUUAGCACUUAAAAGUGCCGUGCAAUCUUUCAAGGCCGUUAAAUGUCUAAUAAUUUAAACUGCUGAGGGGAUAAGACCCGCAUGGCGUUGGUUGUCAUGGCGAGGUUGUGCGGGUGGCUUUUGAAUAGACUGCAGAAGUAUUAUUAUUAAGUCUUCGUGGAGUCUGUGGUUUAGAGUGGAGUAUUUUUGCUUUUUUUUAAACUUCGUUCAGUUCUCCGGCCUUAUAAUCAAACUUUUAAGGCAUAGAACUGAAUGAACUAUGGAUCUCUCCUUUGGAGAGUUAGUGUCACAGAGGGGACAUUCUGACAAAAUAAGCGUAAAGUUUAAGUUAAUGAGUAAAUAGUUGCAAAGAUUAUUUUAUUUUUGAAAAAGUUAAUGAAUACUCCCUUUCAUUUAUAUAAAAACAUUUGUGAAUUUGGGUUUUGCAUUUGGCUGUAUGCUCUUUUUUUGUUUGUUUGUUUUGAGUCUUGCCCAGGCUGGGUUUAAACUUCGGAUCCACCUGUCUUUGCCUCCUGGGAUUCAUUUUCUUUAACUCACAAAAAAAUAUGCAGAGUAAGCCCCAGUGUUAGCCAGUGUUAGCCAGUGUUAGCCUGUGUUAGCCAGUGUUAGCCUGGCUGACAGUGUUCUGCACAUUCCUAAGCACAGGAAGAUGCGUGCUGACAGCAUCAGCACCUUGUGGGUGGGUUGAAUGGAGACUCCUGUCUGGGUUUUGUCACAGGGGCCAUGGACAUGCAGAGGAGUGACAUUUGUAAGAUUUCACAGCCACACAGUGGGCAGACCCGUCUGGACCAGUACAUCUUGUCAUACAUGUGUGUCCCACCCCCAAAUGUACAGUGUCCACCUAGUUACCUGAGAGAACGCCCCAGUCAAGUGUUACUAGUCUUUUAGAUUUCAGCAGGGAAGCCUCCACCUAAUGUGGACCAACUCUGAACUAUUCCUGUCCCUAAGGUCAGAGAGGCCAUAAAUGAACAUUUACCUUAUAUUUUUAUUUCAUAAUGAAAUCUUUUAGGCCAAACAACAAUGUCUCGCUUCUUAAAGCCACAAAGAGCCAACCCCCCUCCUAGAUCCGCUGUGCCAGGACGGAUAGUGGGAGGCUGAUUCUCAACCUUUACCAGAACAGCAAAAUGUCUAAGACACAUGUAACGGGCAAAAACAGAAUGCUCAGACCAAAUGCGUUGUAAAGUGAUAUGCACUGUUAAUUACAGAUCUUUGAAAGUCUCUGUGCACAUAUGUAAGUUUUAUUCAACCAUAAAAUUUAUUAUCAGUCUUAGGUAAAUGAACAGUAUUUUUAUACCACAUAAACCCUGCUUUCCAAAACUCAUUUCCCUCUAACUUACCAGGCACAUUAUACACACAGCUUAAAAAAGAUCAUAUUUUUUUAUUCUUGACCAUCCACUUAUUUUGAAAUUUCCAAAGUUUCUUAGAAGCGAAUUAAAUAGAAACUCAUGGGGAGUGUCUUAUGGAGACGUCAGAAAAUGUCACACCAGAGAUCAUCCAUGCUGUAGCCAAAUGCAUCUUCUAAGUCUGUCAGUGGUGGGGUGUACCCACCUUCCCUGUGUCUAAAGUAUACUUUGCCCACUGACAGUGGGCUCUGGCACCUUGGGAUUGCUGUGAACCCAAAUCAAAAUAAAAUCUGAGAAGCAA
This 2012-nucleotide long non-coding RNA is filed under the name Rattus norvegicus (Norway rat). RNAcentral's name for it is "long non-coding RNA NONRATT025685". Lineage: Eukaryota; Metazoa; Chordata; Mammalia; Rodentia; Muridae. The record is from RNAcentral.